AGCUAACUAGCUACAGUGCAGGCUAACUCAAAUGAGCUGCUAAUGUAACUAUCUAGCUAUCUAGCCAACUUUACAAACUGUAUAGAUAGAGAGCUAAGUGAAUUACAUUUGACCAGCUACCUAACUUCAUAUUAGCUAGCUAUCUUUAUGUAUUUAUCAUUGUAAAAAAAAAAAACUCCAAAUGCAUUUGUAGGUAGCUAGCGAACAGCCACGCAGGAGGGUGAAAGGAGUGAGAGAGCAGGCUAUUCUGGAAAGGGCAGGUACUUUUGUGUAGUUCCCGUCCCUAGAGUUGAGGACGGAGAUAACAGUAACAUCAUAUUCAGUGCUGUCUAAUUUGAGUAUAAUGACGUCCGUUUCUUGUGAUGUUUUCUGUCCUCAGAUACAGAGAGCUGUGAAAGCCUGUCUGCAGAUGAAGAGGUCCCAAUGAAGAGCAGUGGUUCUCAGUCCUGGUGCUGGGGACUCAAAUGGAUGCACAUUGUUGUUUUUGCCUUAGCAUUACACAGCUGAUUCAAAUGAUCAACUGAUCAUCAAGCUUCAAGGGAUACCUUGCAACUGGAGAUUCCUUCAAAACGAUUGCCUACUGUGUAGUGCAUUACAAGGGCCAUCUGGGACUGCCUCCUGGGGGAAUUCAGGCGUGUGUGAAGGCUACCUGGGUCCUGCAUAACCUCAUGAGGAUGGACACGAGGUCCAGGAGGGGACCUGCAGCUCGCCGCCGUGUGCCAGAGGAGAGGUCUGCUGCUCUGCAGGAUGUUUCAAGGAUGGGGGCCAACAACGCAGCACAGCAGGCAAUCUGUGUGCGGGAGAUCUUCACCUCCUACUUCUUCGAAGAGGGUGCUGUUCCCUGGCAACACCAUAUACUACACUAUACACAACCAAAAGCUCUUUUAAGAGCCAUCCACAUUGCAACAAGAGUAUUCUUCCAUAUACUUAGCUAUCCCAACUGCAGUUACUCAAUUCCCGGUUUCUCUACUUUUGAUUUCUACUUCUCAGGUGAGGGUGCUGUUCAGGUAAGGGUGACGUCUGUACAAAAACAGGCUAUUUUAAGAGUCGCCCAUAUUGAAAACAUUCAGAACAAUUAGACACCCUAUAACCCACACCUACACACUCGUGUAUCAAUCUGACUGAUGGAUUGUGUUGUGCAGCAGGCUCCGGUGUAGAACUGUGGCUCCUUCCACCUUCAAAGAACAGGCCAGAGGACCAACCAUGGAGAAUAGUAAGACACUUCAUCAUUACUAUUUAUAUAACUACACUAUAUUGUUUGUCCUCGUGUGUCUGUGCUUGUUUUUCAGUAUAAAGUACUCUGCAGCCGCUCAGUGUGGACACCAGGUUAUAUCAGCUGUGUCGGUGGACCCCUCCCGCAUCUGAACUGGCUACGUAGAGGGCACAGCAUGAUCAGAGGUUUGCAAGUCAUGCCCACCUGAUGGCCUUUUGGAAGCAGAUAGAGCCCAGCCACCUGCAGGUUCAUACGGGUGACAAGAGACACGAAGUGGAGCAAAGACUGAUGACGUCCCUCACACUGGCAAUGCAACGGUUAAUAUAUUUUUUAACAAGCACAACUGGCUGUGAAUCACACAAUGUCGUCUGAAAUACACAGACGCAUCAUUUAAUGGGUUUUGAAAGACGAGGGUCUACAGCAGCAGGAGUAGGAGCAGAACUUGUUCUUUCUACUUUUUACUGGUGGAAGCAACUUAUCUACUGUCUCGUGUCACUUUUGUGCUUUCUGCAUCACUUUCCUACUGUCUCCCACCACUUGGCUAUACUGUCUCCCACCACUUGGCUAUACUGUCUCCCACCACUUGGCUAUA
Molecule: long non-coding RNA, 1805 nt
Organism: Coregonus clupeaformis (lake whitefish)
Lineage: Eukaryota; Metazoa; Chordata; Actinopteri; Salmoniformes; Salmonidae
Exons: 4
Source: RefSeq, a predicted model, not a curated record